RNAcentral lists this long non-coding RNA (1200 nucleotides) under Equus asinus (donkey). RNAcentral's name for it is "lncRNA (ENSEASG00005033936.1)". The record is from RNAcentral. Lineage: Eukaryota; Metazoa; Chordata; Mammalia; Perissodactyla; Equidae.
CUGGGAGGUGCACCUGCGGGGUCCGUCGGCGUCCCCCGCGCGGUGUCGGACGCCUGAUGCUCCAUGGGCGUCUGUUUACUUGUCUCUUUGAGGGGAGGGACGGGCGACAGCUGCCUCCACCUUGACGCUCUCCUCACUCCUAAACUGGGGCUCUGGGGAGCAGUAUACCGUUGAAUCACUUUCCCCAUUCUGCCAACGUCUGUCUUCUGAUUGGAGCGUUUAAAUCGUUAUUGUUGGAGGCCUCGCGCUCACGGGGUUACCUGUCCUUACAGGCUUCGUUCCGAAGACUUAACCCCUGAAAGCACUAACGUGUCUCCGACCGAUGCCGGAGCCUGUCACUUACAGUCCUUGCCGCUUUCCCCGCAGCUGUCUACAGUAUUUGAAUUACUGUCUUCUUCGCAUUUCUGGUUACUAGUCAACAACUGUUUAAUUUCUAUCCAAGGAUGAUUAAAUCGACGUACACUGAAACAAGAAAUGUGCACUCACAAUACUAAAGGAUGACCUGGUCCGUGAUACUUUGGUCGCUUCCUCUGCUUAUUGGUUCGACAAGCCUCCUAGGUCUGAACCCGCUGUGAGCCCUACCCAAGGACCUGGGCGGCAUUUCAGGGCUCCUCCUGCAACUUGUCCACGACGAAUUCACCUGCUUCAAAGGCGAGGAUCACCGUGUGAGGAGGGUGCUCAUCUGGUCAUCAUCACUGCCAAGCAGAGCAGAAAUUCCCGAGUUCAGCGGAAGAUGUUGUGUCCUGGACCAGCCUUUGGAAACAGUACCCAAAGGGCAUCUAUCAGUGGAGAGGUGGCUCAGCCCCACCUUCAUGUGAGUGUUUCUGUUGGAAUACCUGAGCCCUAGCUAGUCUGUCCCAUUGGAUCUUGGAGACAUCUUCCCAUAGAUUCUUGACUGCCUCAAGGUUCUAAUUUUGGCCUGAACAAACAGCCUGUCAUGUUUCCUGUUGUCAUGCUUAGUUGCAGGUGUGUGUGUGUGUGUAAACCACAAUUCAACAACAUCAAACAACAAGUUCUUUAUUGUAGGAACUCACGUUCCUUUAAUACACUAAAGAGAACCUUGCCCUUUAAGGAGGGGAAGAGGAUGUGUGAUGUGCAAACGUAUUAAGAUGCAGAGCUCAUCUGGGCGUAUCUGGAGUCUCUCGUGUCCUACAGAACAUGCUUGCAGGAUCACUGCCUGGAGGAUGCAGUCCUAACCCC